This 460-nucleotide ribosomal RNA is filed under the name uncultured bacterium. RNAcentral describes it as "partial 16S ribosomal RNA". It matches the Rfam family "Bacterial small subunit ribosomal RNA", at positions 338 to 795 of the family's 1533-position model. The record is from RNAcentral.
CCUACGGGAGGCAGCAGUGAGGAAUAUUGGUCAAUGGCCGAGAGGCUGAACCAGCCAAGUCGCGUGAGGGAAGACGGCCCUACGGGUUGUAAACCUCUUUUGUCGGGGAGCAAAGCGAGUCACGUGUGACUCAUUGAGAGUACCCGAAGAAAAAGCAUCGGCUAACUCCGUGCCAGCAGCCGCGGUAAUACGGAGGAUGCGAGCGUUAUCCGGAUUUAUUGGGUUUAAAGGGUGCGCAGGCGGAGGUGCAAGUCAGGCGUGAAAGCUAGGGGCUCAACCCCUCAAGUGCGCUUGAAACUGUGGAGCUUGAGUGAAGUAGAGGCAGGCGGAAUUCCCGGUGUAGCGGUGAAAUGCGUAGAGAUCGGGAGGAACACCAGUGGCGAAGGCGGCCUGCUGGGCUUUAACUGACGCUCAGGCACGAAAGCAUGGGUAGCAAACAGGAUUAGAUACCCAGGUAGUC